Molecule: small nucleolar RNA, 138 nt
Filed under: Drosophila erecta
Lineage: Eukaryota; Metazoa; Arthropoda; Insecta; Diptera; Drosophilidae
Description: snoRNA:GG26000
Source: RNAcentral
UCGGAGUCAAAGUGGCAUAUUUGGGUAUAUCCCUGCCCAUUUGUGUCUCAAAUACUCCCAUAACAACUUUGUAGUAGGGAAGAACGGCAUCCUGAAUAGUGCAUUAUAUUAUAGCAGAUGACUUGAGUUCGUCCACAU